CCUACGGGUGGCAGCAGUGAGGAAUAUUGGUCAAUGGACGAGAGUCUGAACCAGCCAAGUAGCGUGAAGGAUGACUGCCCUCUGGGUUGUAAACUUCUUUUAUAUGGGAAUAAAAUGUUCCACGUGUGGGAUUUUGUAUGUACCAUAUGAAUAAGGAUCGGCUAACUCCGUGCCAGCAGCCGCGGUAAUACGGAGGAUCCGAGCGUUAUCCGGAUUUAUUGGGUUUAAAGGGAGCGUAGGUGGAUUGUUAAGUCAGUUGUGAAAGUUUGCGGCUCAACCGUAAAAUUGCAGUUGAAACUGGCAGUCUGGAGUACAGUAGAGGUGGGCGGAAUUCGUGGUGGAGCGGUGAAAUGCUUAGAUAUCACGAAGAACUCCGAUUGCGAAGGCAGCUCACUGGACUGCAACUGACACUGAGGCUCGAAAGUGUGGGUAUCAAACAGGAUUAGAUACCCGAGUAGUC
RNAcentral lists this ribosomal RNA (460 nucleotides) under uncultured bacterium. RNAcentral's name for it is "partial 16S ribosomal RNA". It matches the Rfam family "Bacterial small subunit ribosomal RNA", at positions 338 to 795 of the family's 1533-position model. The record is from RNAcentral.